RNAcentral lists this ribosomal RNA (1046 nucleotides) under uncultured bacterium. RNAcentral's name for it is "bacterial SSU rRNA". It matches the Rfam family "Bacterial small subunit ribosomal RNA", at positions 97 to 1147 of the family's 1533-position model. The record is from RNAcentral.
GGCGGACGGGUGAGUAAAGCCUAGGAAUCUGCCUGGUAGUGGGGGAUAACGCUCGGAAACGGACGCUAAUACCGCAUACGUCCUACGGGAGAAAGCAGGGGACCUUCGGGCCUUGCGCUAUCAGAUGAGCCUAGGUCGGAUUAGCUAGUUGGUGAGGUAAUGGCUCACCAAGGCGACGAUCCGUAACUGGUCUGAGAGGAUGAUCAGUCACACUGGAACUGAGACACGGUCCAGACUCCUACGGGAGGCAGCAGUGGGGAAUAUUGGACAAUGGGCGAAAGCCUGAUCCAGCCAUGCCGCGUGUGUGAAGAAGGUCUUCGGAUUGUAAAGCACUUUAAGUUGGGAGGAAGGGCAUUAACCUAAUACGUUAGUGUUUUGACGUUACCGACAGAAUAAGCACCGGCUAACUCUGUGCCAGCAGCCGCGGUAAUACAGAGGGUGCAAGCGUUAAUCGGAAUUACUGGGCGUAAAGCGCGCGUAGGUGGUUCGUUAAGUUGGAUGUGAAAUCCCCGGGCUCAACCUGGGAACUGCAUUCAAAACUGUCGAGCUAGAGUAUGGUAGAGGGUGGUGGAAUUUCCUGUGUAGCGGUGAAAUGCGUAGAUAUAGGAAGGAACACCAGUGGCGAAGGCGACCACCUGGACUGAUACUGACACUGAGGUGCGAAAGCGUGGGGAGCAAACAGGACUAGAUACCCUGGUAGUCCACGCCGUAAAACGAUGUCAACUAGCCGUUGGGAGCCUUGAGCUCUUAGUGGCGCAGCUAACGCAUUAAGUUGACCGCCUGGGGAGUACGGCCGCAAGGUUAAAACUCAAAUGAAUUGACGGGGGCCCGCACAAGCGGUGGAGCAUGUGGUUUAAUUCCAAACACGCGAAGAACCUUACCAGGCCUUGACAUCCAAUGAACUUUCCAGAGAUGAUUGGUGCCUUCGGGAACAUUGAGACAAGUGCUGCAUGGCUGUCGUCAACUCGUGUCAUGAGAUGUGGGUUAAAUCCCGUAACGAAGCCAACCUGGUCUGAGAUACAGUACGCUAUGGUGGUCUCUUAGUG